AUGUCUUUUCAAUUAUUGCCUGCAGAUAUCCCAGUGCCUUCCAGUGCCAUUAGUGCAGCCUCAGACGAAAUUAUUGAAUUCCAUGAAGUGGAUAUUGUAACACCAUCGCAGAAGCUAUUGGCGAGGAAGCUGUCAUGCAGUGUGGUACAAGGGAAAAGCCUUCUUUUGACUUGCCCCAAUGGUACCGGGAAGAGCUAUGUUUUUAGGGUGCUCAGAGAUUUAUGGCCUGCCUUUUCUAGGAGAGUUACCAAGCCCUCUGAAGGGAUGUUCCAUGUUCCUCAGAGUCCAUACACCAGCUUGGGAACCCUUCGGGAUCAGAUCAUAUAUCCUCUGUCAAGGGAGGAAGCAGAGAUGAAGAUUCUUUCAUUAUAUAAAGCUAGCAACAGGUCUAGUGCUCCUGAGUUGCUAGAUGACCACCUGAAGACGGUUCUUGUGAAUGUUCGGUUGGUCUAUCUUCUAGAGAGGGAAGGUUGGGACUCUACCCAAAACUGGGAAGACGUAUUGUCGCUGGGAGAGCAACAGAGGCUUGGGAUGGUGGCGAACAAAAAAACAUUCUGGAGCUGCAGCAGCUUCUCCCAGCGCUUGGAUGAGCUGGCAGCCCAGCUGUGGCGCGGAAGGCCUGCUGGUUGGCACGUUGGGCUGGCUGAAGGAGCCCAUCUCGGGCGGAACUGCAGACAGGCGGCGGCUCGGCAAGCUUCACGGCGGCUCUUGGCUCGGGAAGAAGAGAAGGGAAGGGGAAGAAGAGAAGGGGGGGUCGUCUUGGUGCUGCUCCUGACUUCGAGGUUCUGUCGGGCGUCAAUGGCGUCGGGGCUCCGAGCCAUGGGGUCGCAGUUCCUUGUAGCAGGCGCGACGGGCGGCGGCAAUGAUGGGAUCCGGCGAGAAAUAGCCUUGGAUGGCCGGAUCUGUAGUCGGAGGCGAGGAUCUGGCCAGCGACGGGGGCAGCCGGGUGUGGCGGCGGUGAGGUCUGCCAUCAAAGCAUCCGAAGAAGUCCUCAUGGUAUCCUUCUCUGGAUACCCUGUGCACACGGGCUUGUACCUUGCGCACGGGGUCAAGUGUCAACUCUCUGGAUACCCCGUGCUCACGGGGCCUAGGGCUUUUAAGGAUCAAGGGCUUGAGAGAAUAAUCAAAGAGAAGAAUUCAAGUUAUGGUCUCAAGACAAGAUCAUGCGCUACGAGUGUUGAUGGUGAAGAGCAUCUGUACAGGCUAGCAGCAAACAUGGGCAUAACUGUGAUCACUUCGUCACAAAGGCCUGCUCAUCGACGGCGAGGGAAACUGGGAGCUGUGCGAGAUCCAGCAUUGAUUGACGCCCCCAAGCUAGAGUUUUAUCGGCUCAGUCACUUAUGCCGUGCAGAAGAUGCUGCUGCUGUUACUGGUGCUACAGCAAUUUGUUCAUAA
Molecule: ribosomal RNA, 1395 nt
Filed under: Triticum aestivum (bread wheat)
Lineage: Eukaryota; Viridiplantae; Streptophyta; Magnoliopsida; Poales; Poaceae
Description: partial small subunit ribosomal RNA
Source: RNAcentral